Molecule: ribosomal RNA, 459 nt
Filed under: uncultured bacterium
Lineage: Bacteria
Description: partial 16S ribosomal RNA
Rfam family: Bacterial small subunit ribosomal RNA
Source: RNAcentral
CCUACGGGGGGCAGCAGUGAGGAAUAUUGGUCAAUGGGCGGAAGCCUGAACCAGCCAAGUCGCGUGAGGGAAUAAGGCCCUACGGGUCGUAAAACUCUUUUGCCGGGGAGCAAGGGCGGGGACGUGUCCCGGUCCGGAGAGUACCCGGAGAAAAAGCAUCGGCUACUCCGUGCCAGCAGCCGCGGUAAUACGGAGGAUGCGAGCGUUAUCCGGAUUUAUUGGGGUUAAAGGGUGCGUAGGCGGGCUUUUAAGUCAGCGGUAAAAAUUAGGGGCUCAACCCCGUCCGGCCGUUGAACGUGGGGGCCUUGAGUGGGCGAGAAGAAGGCGGAAUGCGUGGUGUAGCGGUGAAAUGCAUAGAUAUCACGCAGAACCCCGAUUGCGAAGGCAGCCUUCCGGCGCCCUACUGACGCUGAGGCACGAAAGUGCGGGGAUCGAACAGGAUUAGAUACCCGGGUAGUC